UUCGUAAUCAGCCUCUUCUGUGGGUGCUAUCAAUUGGAUUUGAGAUGAUGGAGCUUACCUUCCGUCACAUGCUACCAAAUUUUAAUGAAUGCUGGUGGGACAGUAUUGUUCUUGAUAUUUUGAUCUGCAACUGGUUUGGUAUCUACGCAGGAAUGCAUACUGUUAGGUACUUAGAUGGAAAAACGUACAAGUGGGUUGGGAUAAGCCGUCAGCCUAAUAUUAUUGGAAAAGUAUGCUCUAAGUUUGGUGUUUUAGUUUUGAAUAUUUAAUGGAGAGUUAAUAUUAUUGGAAAAGUAUGCUCUGAUUUUGGUGUUUUAGUUUUGAAUAUUUAAUGGAGAGUUACUAAGUUGUAGCAAGAAGUUGAAAAUUGGAUCAUAUUGUUUGGAGUAGAAAUACAUGUGUUUUAGUGUUUUUUUUUUCCUGUAAACAGAAAAUCAUGGAUUCCCUGUACUUUUUAGCUUAAGAAAUUUUCUUGUCAUGUCUCAUUUUUUGUUUCUUGUGAACCUUUGUUAUUGACACCGAGUUAGAUGCAUUUUUUACUGACUCAGGUCAAAAGAACACUAGAAUUAAGGCACAGUAUUUAAGUUUAGACAAUGUUACAAAGAACUUGAGAAAGUUCUAUGCACAAGCUUACUUGGGACAAUCACCAAAACAAGCUCCAAAGUAUUGGCUUCAUUUUCAAGUUUCUGUACUAUCGCUUGGUUGGAAUACUUACUUUGUCUCAAAGGCAUAUAGUAUAGGUAAUUGAGUUCAAACUUGCUAGUCAAAUUAUAUUGAACAUAUAGUUGAUUCUUAUGAAGCUCACCAUUAAGAUACAAUAUCAUACAGUAUGCAUAAAGAGGCAUUAAUUGUUUAAUUGCUCUGGUUUCUUUUUCAAACUAUUGCAGUAAAAUCCACAAAAUGAUACCAUUGAAGUUGGGCCUAGAGAUUUAAAGCUGACCUUUUCGUCUACCUCAGGACAACUAAAACAGAUGUACAAUUCUAAAACUGAGGUUGAAGAUUGCAUUCCCCAGUUUUAACCUGUUCCUGAAUUUUGGUUUUAGUCUCUCUAGCUCUUAAUUUCCAUCUCUCAGAACUAUAGUACUAAAUUUCUAAUUCAGAUUAUUUAGGAACCAGUUGAAAUGAUAGUAGAAUUCUUCUAUGGUGUAUAUUUCUAAUAUAACACAUAAAGGAAUAUAUAGAUUGCCAUGUUCUGUUUAUCCAAUUUAUUAGAAUUGUUUUGCUCUUUCCUCCUUUCAAGACAAUUUUCAAUAAGUUAAUGGCCUUUAUUAUAAUUAUUUAGUUAAUAUAUUUAUAUAUUUUAUAUAUGUUGAUCUAUAUUCAUGUGGAUAAGCAAACCAUGCUUGUUUGUGUCUCUCCUUGUUUGUUCAAUAAUGGCUGAUGUCUCUCUUUGAUGAAUGUGGUGCUAUUUGGAGAGACCAGUGAUAAGGAACACAUCUUGCUAUACCCUGCUGUUUCGUCAAGUUUUGGAGUUAUUACAAAUUUAAUUUAAACUUUAUAUGCUUACAGGU
Humulus lupulus (European hop) is the source of this 1511-nucleotide RNA transcript. It is a transcript of the gene named CDP-diacylglycerol--serine O-phosphatidyltransferase 2-like, with no coding region annotated. The record is from RefSeq and is a predicted model, not a curated record. Lineage: Eukaryota; Viridiplantae; Streptophyta; Magnoliopsida; Rosales; Cannabaceae. The transcript has 4 exons.